Unclassified non-coding RNA from Macaca fascicularis (crab-eating macaque), 117 nucleotides. It matches the Rfam family "Metazoan signal recognition particle RNA". From Rfam's summary of the family: The signal recognition particle (SRP) is a universally conserved ribonucleoprotein. It is involved in the co-translational targeting of proteins to membranes. The eukaryotic SRP consists of a 300-nucleotide 7S RNA and six proteins: SRPs 72, 68, 54, 19, 14, and 9. The record is from Ensembl. Lineage: Eukaryota; Metazoa; Chordata; Mammalia; Primates; Cercopithecidae.
GCCGGGCAUGGUGGCUCAUACCUGUAAUCCCAGCACUUUGGGAGGCUGAGGCAGGUGGCUCACCUGAGGUCAGGAGUUCAAGACCAGCCUGGCCAACAUGGUGAAACCCUGUCUCUA